CGCGGCCUAUCAGCUUGUUGGUGAGGUAACGGCUCACCAAGGCUCAGACGGGUAGCUGGUCUGAGAGGACGAUCAGCCACACUGGGACUGAGACACGGCCCAGACUCCUACGGGAGGCAGCAGCAGGGAAUAUUGCACAAUGGGCGAAAGCCUGAUGCAGCGACGCCGCGUGGGGGAUGAAUGCCUUCGGGUUGUAAACCCCUUUCGGGAGGGACGAAGCGAAAGUGACGGUACCUUCAGAAGAAGCCCCGGCCAACUACGUGCCAGCAGCCGCGGUAAUACGUAGGGGGCGAGCGUUGUCCGGAUUUAUUGGGCGUAAAGAGCUCGUAGGCGGCUCAGCAAGUCGGCCGUGAAAGCCCAGGGCUCAACCCUGGGAUGCCGGUCGAAACUGCUGUGGCUAGGGUCCGGUAGAGGAGAGUGGAAUUCCCGGUGUAGCGGUGAAAUGCGCAGAUAUCGGGAGGAGCACCAGUAGCGAAGGCGGCUCUCUGGGCCGGUACCGACGCUGAGGAGCGAAAGCUAGGGGAGCAAACAGGAUUAGAUACCCUGGUAGUCCUAGCCGUAAACGAUGGACACUAGGUGUGGCGGAUUCAUUGACAUCUGCCGUGCCGAAGCUAACGCAUUAAGUGCCCCGCCUGGGGAGUACGG
RNAcentral lists this ribosomal RNA (645 nucleotides) under uncultured bacterium. Its description in RNAcentral is "bacterial SSU rRNA". It matches the Rfam family "Bacterial small subunit ribosomal RNA", at positions 232 to 885 of the family's 1533-position model. The record is from RNAcentral.